Molecule: ribosomal RNA, 483 nt
Filed under: uncultured bacterium
Lineage: Bacteria
Description: partial 16S ribosomal RNA
Rfam family: Bacterial small subunit ribosomal RNA
Source: RNAcentral
GACGAACGCUGGCGGCGUGCUUAACACAUGCAAGUCGAACGAUGAAGCGGGUGCUUGCACUCGUGGAUUAGUGGCGAACGGGCGAGUAACACGUGAGUAACCUGUCCUUUUCUUUGGGAUAACGGCUGGAAACGGCUGCUAAUACUGGAUAUUCAGGCUGCAUCGCAUGGUGUGGUUUGGAAAGGUUUUUUCUGGGAUUGGGUGGGCUCGCGGCCUAUCAGCUUGUUGGUGGGGUGAUGGCUUACCAAGGCUUUGACGGGUAGCCGGCCUGAGAGGGUGGUCGGUCGCACUGGGACGGAGAUACGGCCCAGACUCCUACGGGAGGCAGCAGUGGGGAAUAUUGCACAAUGGACGAAAGUUUGAUGCAGCGACGCCGCGUGGAGGGUGUAGGCCUUCGGGUUGUGAACUCCUUUUUCUCGCGAAAAAGGCACAGUUUUGGCUGUGUUGAUGGUAGUGGGGGAAGAAGCGCCGGCUAACUACGUG